RNAcentral lists this ribosomal RNA (239 nucleotides) under uncultured bacterium. RNAcentral describes it as "partial 16S ribosomal RNA". It matches the Rfam family "Bacterial small subunit ribosomal RNA", at positions 15 to 236 of the family's 1533-position model. The record is from RNAcentral.
GUUCCUGGCUCAGGAUGAACGCUGGCGGCGUGCUUAACACAUGCAAGUCGAACGAAGCACUUAAGAUUGAUUCUUCGGAUGAUUUCUUUUGUGACUUAGUGGCGGACGGGUGAGUAACGCGUGGGUAACCUGCCUCACACAGGGGGAUAACAGUUAGAAAUGACUGCUAAUACCGCAUAACCCGAUAGGAUCGCAUGAUCCAGACGGAAAAGAUUUAUCGGUGUGAGAUGGACCCGCGU